Molecule: ribosomal RNA, 1970 nt
Filed under: human gut metagenome
Description: bacterial LSU rRNA
Rfam family: Bacterial large subunit ribosomal RNA
Source: RNAcentral
UUAAGUGAAUAAGGGCGCACGGUGGAUGCCUUGGCACUAGGAGCCGAUGAAGGACGGGACUAACACCGAUAUGCUUUGGGGAGCUGUAAGUAAGCUAUGAUCCAGAGAUUUCCGAAUGGGGGAACCCAAUAUCUUUUAUAGGAUAUUACUUUUCAGUGAAUACAUAGCUGAUUAGAGGUAGACGCAGAGAACUGAAACAUCUUAGUACCUGCAGGAAGAGAAAGAAAAUUCGAUUCCCUGAGUAGCGGCGAGCGAAACGGGAAGAGCCCAAACCAACAAGCUUGCUUGUUGGGGUUGUAGGACUCCAAUAUGGUAGUCUGUUAGUAUAGUUGAAGGAUUUGGAAAAUUCCGCUAAAGAGGGUGAAAGCCCCGUAGACGAAAUGCUAACAACACCUAGGAGGAUCCUGAGUACGGCGGAACACGAGAAAUUCCGUCGGAAUCCGCGGGGACCAUCCCGCAAGGCUAAAUACUCCCUAGUGACCGAUAGUGAACCAGUACCGUGAGGGAAAGGUGAAAAGCACCCCGGAAGGGGAGUGAAAUAGAUCCUGAAACCGUGUGCCUACAACAAGUCAAAGCUCGUUAAUGAGUGAUGGCGUGCCUUUUGUAGAAUGAACCGGCGAGUUACGAUUGCAUGCGAGGUUAAGUCGAAGAGACGGAGCCGCAGCGAAAGCGAGUCUGAAUAGGGCGAAUGAGUAUGUAGUCGUAGACCCGAAACCAUGUGAUCUACCCAUGUCCAGGUUGAAGGUGCGGUAAAACGCACUGGAGGACCGAACCCACGUACGUUGAAAAGUGCGGGGAUGAGGUGUGGGUAGCGGAGAAAUUCCAAACGAACUUGGAGAUAGCUGGUUCUCUCCGAAAUAGCUUUAGGGCUAGCCUCGGAAUUGAGAAUGAUGGAGGUAGAGCACUGUUUGGACUAGGGGCCCAUCUCGGGUUACCGAAUUCAGAUAAACUCCGAAUGCCAUUCAUUUAUAUCCGGGAGUCAGACUGCGAGUGAUAAGAUCCGUAGUCGAAAGGGAAACAGCCCAGACCACCAGCUAAGGUCCCAAAAUAUAUGUUAAGUGGAAAAGGAUGUGGGGUUGCACAGACAACUAGGAUGUUGGCUUAGAAGCAGCCACCAUUUAAAGAGUGCGUAAUAGCUCACUAGUCGAGUGACCCUGCGCCGAAAAUGUACCGGGGCUAAACAUAUUACCGAAGCUGUGGACUACACCAUUAGGUGUAGUGGUAGGAGAGCGUUCUAAGGGCGUUGAAGGUCGAUCGUGAGGACGGCUGGAGCGCUUAGAAGUGAGAAUGCCGGUAUGAGUAGCGAAAGACAGGUGAGAAUCCUGUCCACCGUAUGACUAAGGUUUCCUGGGGAAGGCUCGUCCGCCCAGGGUUAGUCGGGACCUAAGCCGAGGCCGAUAGGCGUAGGCGAUGGACAACAGGUUGAUAUUCCUGUACCAGUUGUUUUUGUUUGAGCAAUGGAGGGACGCAGUAGGCUAAGGAAUGCAUGCGAUUGGAAGUGCAUGUCCAAGCAAUGAGUCUUGAGUAGAGUUAAAUGCUUUACUCUUUAAGGACAAGUUGUGACGGGGAGCGAAAUAAUAGUAGCGAAGUUCCUGAUGUCACACUGCCAAGAAAAGCUUCUAGUGAGAAAACAACUGCCCGUACCGUAAACCGACACAGGUAGUCGAGGAGAGUAUCCUAAGGUGAGCGAGCGAACUCUCGUUAAGGAACUCGGCAAAAUGACCCCGUAACUUCGGGAGAAGGGGUGCUGACUUCGGUCAGCCGCAGUGAAUAGGCCCAAGCGACUGUUUAUCAAAAACACAGGUCUCUGCAAAAUCGUAAGAUGAAGUAUAGGGGCUGACGCCUGCCCGGUGCUGGAAGGUUAAGAGGAUGGGUUAGCUUCGGCGAAGCUCAGAAUUGAAGCCCCAGUAAACGGCGGCCGUAACUAUAACGGUCCUAAGGUAGCGAAAUUCCUUGUCGGGUAAGUUCCG